GCCGCGUGUGUGAAGAGGCCUGAGGGUUGUAAGCACUUUCAGUGGGGAGGAGGGUUCAUAGGUUAAGAGCUGGAUAAGUGGACGUUACCCACAGAAGAAGCACCGGCUAACUCCGUGCCAGCAGCCGCGGUAAUACGGAGGGUGCGAGCGUUAAUCGGAAUUACUGGGCGUAAAGGGUGCGUAGGUGGUUUAGUAAGUUAUCUGUGAAAUCCCUGGGCUCAACCUGGGCAGGUCAGAUAAUACUGGUUAACUCGAGUAUGGGAGAGGGUAGUGGAAUUUCCGGUGUAGCGGUGAAAUGCGUAGAGAUCGGAAGGAACACCAGUGGCGAAGGCGGCUACCUGGCCUAAUACUGACACUGAAGCACGAAAGCGUGGGGAGCAAACAGGAUUAGAUACCCUGGUAGUCCACGCCGUAAACGAUGUCAACUAGCUGUUGG
This 436-nucleotide ribosomal RNA is filed under the name Legionella sp. Its description in RNAcentral is "bacterial SSU rRNA". It matches the Rfam family "Bacterial small subunit ribosomal RNA", at positions 396 to 826 of the family's 1533-position model. Lineage: Bacteria; Pseudomonadati; Pseudomonadota; Gammaproteobacteria; Legionellales; Legionellaceae. The record is from RNAcentral.